UCUUUUUCCAAUUAUAAAAAGUCUCUGUUUUAAAUUCUAGCUGAUCGGGUCGUCCCUGAAACACAUUACCUCAAGCUGCUGACCUUUGGAAAGCAAAUCAGAGACCAUGUGGAGAUGUGAUCCGGCUCCAGCUUCAGUGAGGGUGAUUCACCCCCGGUUCCAGCCCCGCCCUGGGCAGGGGGGGUGCUGGGUCCGACACAUGGAGGGGACACCGGAGCAGGUCUGAAGCUGAUGUUCCAGGAAGGAGGCCCGGGACUUCCCUGGCAAUCUCCGCCAAGCUCGCGGAGGAUGUUUGUGCCAUGUCUAAACACGGACUGCAGAUUGAACGUGACCCAAGCAGGUCACUUUCCCUGCAGUUUCAAAAGCAAACUCAAUCCAAGACCUGAUAUGGUUCAAAUCAGCUGGAUCAGGGGGCCUCUCGGGUUGAGAGAGGCUCCAGCCACUUCUAAUUUGGUUUUAGAAUAUGAAGAAAUAUCAAAUUGGUAUUCAAAAUCGUGAUAUAUUUUAAAUAUUUAGAUAAUUAACACUUUCAAUACAUUUGCAUUUGUAAUAGUGCUAUCCUAAAGAUGACUACAGAAUUAUAUAUACAUAUAUAUGGAUGGAGAUACAUAUAUUUCCUUUUUGGAAUAUAGAGAUAUAUUUUAAAGUCAGGAAAAAGGAUAAGUUUAUUUUAUUUUUUUGCUUUUUGUUUUUGGCUGUGCCAUGCAGCUUGCUUUAAAGCAACAGCUCCAACUGUUUAUUUGAAAAAGUACAGUAAAUACACAGGGAAAUUUUUACACAUAUUGUGUAAUAGUCUCUCACUAUAUAUCUGCUCAUGGUAUACCACAGGUGCACUGGUUUGAUAAAGGAAGGCAAAUUCAGGGUAAUACGAUUAAACAAAAUACAUUUUUUUUUUUAAUCCUUCUUUUCACGAAGGUCCUUGUAUGGAGAUGGAGCUCUUGGAGAAUGCGCAACCUGGACACCUGCCCAGGGCAGGCCCUGCUAGGAGACAGCAAGAGCUGCAGGGGGUGGAGCCUGUGACUCGGCAUCAAAGGACUCAGGUUAUUUGAUACCCCACAGAAGCAAGAGCUCACCUAAUGUGUCCAAACUGAAUCCCCAGCAUCUGCACAUUCAAGAAAUACUUGUUAAA
This is a long non-coding RNA of Aethalodelphis obliquidens (Pacific white-sided dolphin), 1129 nucleotides long. RefSeq lists it as uncharacterized. The transcript has 2 exons. The record is from RefSeq and is a predicted model, not a curated record. NCBI's taxonomy places the organism in Eukaryota, Metazoa, Chordata, Mammalia, Artiodactyla, Delphinidae.